RNAcentral lists this ribosomal RNA (292 nucleotides) under uncultured bacterium. Its description in RNAcentral is "partial 16S ribosomal RNA". It matches the Rfam family "Bacterial small subunit ribosomal RNA", at positions 505 to 796 of the family's 1533-position model. The record is from RNAcentral.
GUGCCAGCAGCCGCGGUAAUACGUAGGCAGCGAGCGUUGUUCGGAAUUACUGGGCGUAAAGAGUGCGUAGGCGGUGCUCUAAGUCUGUUGUGAAAUCUCCCGGCUCAACUGGGAGGGUGCGGCGGAAACUAGAGUGCUAGAGUAUGGGAGAGGUAAGCGGAAUUCCUGGUGUAGCGGUGAAAUGCGUAGAUAUCAGGAGGAACACCUGUGGUGUAGGCAGCUUACUGGACCAUGACUGACGCUGAGGCACGAAAGCGUGGGUAGCAAACAGGAUUAGAUACCCUGGUAGUCC